AUUGAACGCUGGCGGCAGGCCUAACACAUGCAAGUCGAGCGGUAGCACAGAGAGCUUGCUCUCGGGUGACGAGCGGCGGACGGGUGAGUAAUGUCUGGGAAACUGCCUGAUGGAGGGGGAUAACUACUGGAAACGGUAGCUAAUACCGCAUAACGUCGCAAGACCAAAGUGGGGGGACCUUCGGGCCUCAUGCCAUCAGAUGUGCCCAGAUGGGAUUAGCUGGUAGGUGGGGUAACGGCUCACCUAGGCGACGAUCCCUAGCUGGUCUGAGAGGAUGACCAGCCACACUGGAACUGAGACACGGUCCAGACUCCUACGGGAGGCAGCAGUGGGGAAUAUUGCACAAUGGGCGCAAGCCUGAUGCAGCCAUGCCGCGUGUGUG
RNAcentral lists this ribosomal RNA (382 nucleotides) under uncultured bacterium. RNAcentral describes it as "bacterial SSU rRNA". It matches the Rfam family "Bacterial small subunit ribosomal RNA", at positions 30 to 407 of the family's 1533-position model. The record is from RNAcentral.